This 497-nucleotide ribosomal RNA is filed under the name uncultured bacterium. Its description in RNAcentral is "partial 16S ribosomal RNA". It matches the Rfam family "Bacterial small subunit ribosomal RNA", at positions 28 to 507 of the family's 1533-position model. The record is from RNAcentral.
GAUGAACGCUGGCGGCGUGCCUAAUACAUGCAAGUCGAGCGAACGGACGAGAAGCUUGCUUCUCUGAUGUUAGCGGCGGACGGGUGAGUAACACGUGGAUAACCUACCUAUAAGACUGGGAUAACUUCGGGAAACCGUAGCUAAUACCGGAUAAUAUUUUGAACCGCAUGGUUCAAAAGUGAAAGACGGUCUUGCUGUCACUUAUAGAUGGAUCCGCGCUGCAUUAGCUAGUUGGUAAGGUAACGGCUUACCAAGGCAACGAUGCAUAGCCGACCUGAGAGGGUGUUCGGCCACACUGGAACUGAGACACGGUCCAGACUCCUACGGGAGGCAGCAGUAGGGAAUCUUCCGCAAUGGGCGAAAGCCUGACGGAGCAACGCCGCGUGAGUGAUGAAGGUCUUCGGAUCGUAAAACUCUGUUAUUAGGGAAGAACAUAUGUGUAAGUAACUGUGCACAUCUUGACGGUACCUAAUCAGAAAGCCACGGCUAACUACGUG